This is a long non-coding RNA of Dama dama (fallow deer), 763 nucleotides long. RefSeq lists it as uncharacterized. The transcript has 3 exons. NCBI's taxonomy places the organism in Eukaryota, Metazoa, Chordata, Mammalia, Artiodactyla, Cervidae. The record is from RefSeq and is a predicted model, not a curated record.
GUUCACUUUUACAACAGUCUCACGAAGUGGCAUUCAAAGCAUGUCUUCAUGCCCCUAUGACCUUCUCCCAAUCCAUUUCCUGUUUACCGCACCGUGAAGACUUCCAUGGAGGUCAAACAGACCGUAUACCUACGAAUGAUUUUGUCAGAAAAUGAAGGGGGAAUUCUGGGACACUUUCCCUAUGGACUGUAAUCCACCAGGAUCCUCUGUCCAUGGAAUUCUCCGGGCAAGAACACUGAAGUGGGUCGCCAUGCCCUCCUCCAGAGGGUCGAUCCUGACCCAGCGAUUGAACUCAUGUCUCCUGCUUUCGCAAGUGAAUUCUUCAUCACUAGCGCCACCUGGAAACCCCACUUUACAUAGUGACACCAGUCAUACAUAUGUUUAGUAUUCUUGUGGGCAAUUAACAGAGUAGAACAUAGAGCACUGAAAUUUAUUAUUUGAGGGGUACAUUAUCUUAUUAUUCUUUGAAUCAUCAGCAUGUGGCACAGUUCCUGAUACAUUAUAGACAAUGCAUGUUAAAAUCACGAGCGCAUAAUUACUAAUAUUCACUUGAUUAAUAAUUUGGGUAGGUUAAAAAAAGUCUUAAAAUGGAUGAAGGAAUGAAACAGGCUAUGAUUCAUCAUCAUAGGUUAACUAGUAGGAGUUUAAAACCUGAACAGCAACAACAAAAAAAACCCUAUUAGGAAUGACAUCUGAGUCACAAACCCAGUAAUAGAAGCCUUGAGUUUUAAAGCAUGUGUUGCAAUCACUUAAUUUCAAUCAU